UUAAGCGACUAAGCGUACACGGUGGAUGCCCUGGCAGUCAGAGGCGAUGAAGGACGUGCUAAUCUGCGAUAAGCGUCGGUAAGGUGAUAUGAACCGUUAUAACCGGCGAUUUCCGAAUGGGGAAACCCAGUGUGAUUCGUCACACUAUCAUUAACUGAAUCCAUAGGUUAAUGAGGCGAACCGGGGGAACUGAAACAUCUAAGUACCCCGAGGAAAAGAAAUCAACCGAGAUUCCCCCAGUAGCGGCGAGCGAACGGGGAGCAGCCCAGAGCCUGAAUCAGUGUGUGUGUUAGUGGAAGCGUCUGGAAAGGCGCGCGAUACAGGGUGACAGCCCCGUACACAAAAAUGCACAUGCUGUGAGCUCGAUGAGUAGGGCGGGACACGUGGUAUCCUGUCUGAAUAUGGGGGGACCAUCCUCCAAGGCUAAAUACUCCUGACUGACCGAUAGUGAACCAGUACCGUGAGGGAAAGGCGAAAAGAACCCCGGCGAGGGGAGUGAAAAAGAACCUGAAACCGUGUACGUACAAGCAGUGGGAGCACAGAGCAAUCUGUGUGACUGCGUACCUUUUGUAUAAUGGGUCAGCGACUUAUAUUCUGUAGCAAGGUUAACCGAAUAGGGGAGCCGAAGGGAAACCGAGUCUUAACUGGGCGUUAAGUUGCAGGGUAUAGACCCGAAACCCGGUGAUCUAGCCAUGGGCAGGUUGAAGGUUGGGUAACACUAACUGGAGGACCGAACCGACUAAUGUUGAAAAAUUAGCGGAUGACUUGUGGCUGGGGGUGAAAGGCCAAUCAAACCGGGAGAUAGCUGGUUCUCCCCGAAAGCUAUUUAGGUAGCGCCUCGUGAAUUCAUCUCCGGGGGUAGAGCACUGUUUCGGCAAGGGGGUCAUCCCGACUUACCAACCCGAUGCAAACUGCGAAUACCGGAGAAUGUUAUCACGGGAGACACACGGCGGGUGCUAACGUCCGUCGUGAAGAGGGAAACAACCCAGACCGCCAGCUAAGGUCCCAAAGUCAUGGUUAAGUGGGAAACGAUGUGGGAAGGCCCAGACAGCCAGGAUGUUGGCUUAGAAGCAGCCAUCAUUUAAAGAAAGCGUAAUAGCUCACUGGUCGAGUCGGCCUGCGCGGAAGAUGUAACGGGGCUAAACCAUGCACCGAAGCUGCGGCAGCGACACUGUGUGUUGUUGGGUAGGGGAGCGUUCUGUAAGCCUGCGAAGGUGUGCUGUGAGGCAUGCUGGAGGUAUCAGAAGUGCGAAUGCUGACAUAAGUAACGAUAAAGCGGGUGAAAAGCCCGCUCGCCGGAAGACCAAGGGUUCCUGUCCAACGUUAAUCGGGGCAGGGUGAGUCGACCCCUAAGGCGAGGCCGAAAGGCGUAGUCGAUGGGAAACAGGUUAAUAUUCCUGUACUUGGUGUUACUGCGAAGGGGGGACGGAGAAGGCUAUGUUGGCCGGGCGACGGUUGUCCCGGUUUAAGCGUGUAGGCUGGUUUUCCAGGCAAAUCCGGAAAAUCAAGGCUGAGGCGUGAUGACGAGGCACUACGGUGCUGAAGCAACAAAUGCCCUGCUUCCAGGAAAAGCCUCUAAGCAUCAGGUAACAUCAAAUCGUACCCCAAACCGACACAGGUGGUCAGGUAGAGAAUACCAAGGCGCUUGAGAGAACUCGGGUGAAGGAACUAGGCAAAAUGGUGCCGUAACUUCGGGAGAAGGCACGCUGAUAUGUAGGUGAAGUCCCUCGCGGAUGGAGCUGAAAUCAGUCGAAGAUACCAGCUGGCUGCAACUGUUUAUUAAAAACACAGCACUGUGCAAACACGAAAGUGGACGUAUACGGUGUGACGCCUGCCCGGUGCCGGAAGGUUAAUUGAUGGGGUUAGCGCAAGCGAAGCUCUUGAUCGAAGCCCCGGUAAACGGCGGCCGUAACUAUAACGGUCCUAAGGUAGCGAAAUUCCUUGUCGGGUAAGUUCCGACCUGCACGAAUGGCGUAAUGAUGGCCAGGCUGUCUCCACCCGAGACUCAGUGAAAUUGAACUCGCUGUGAAGAUGCAGUGUACCCGCGGCAAGACGGAAAGACCCCGUGAACCUUUACUAUAGCUUGACACUGAACAUUGAGCCUUGAUGUGUAGGAUAGGUGGGAGGCUUUGAAGUGUGGACGCCAGUCUGCAUGGAGCCGACCUUGAAAUACCACCCUUUAAUGUUUGAUGUUCUAACGUUGACCCGUAAUCCGGGUUGCGGACAGUGUCUGGUGGGUAGUUUGACUGGGGCGGUCUCCUCCUAAAGAGUAACGGAGGAGCACGAAGGUUGGCUAAUCCUGGUCGGACAUCAGGAGGUUAGUGCAAUGGCAUAAGCCAGCUUGACUGCGAGCGUGACGGCGCGAGCAGGUGCGAAAGCAGGUCAUAGUGAUCCGGUGGUUCUGAAUGGAAGGGCCAUCGCUCAACGGAUAAAAGGUACUCCGGGGAUAACAGGCUGAUACCGCCCAAGAGUUCAUAUCGACGGCGGUGUUUGGCACCUCGAUGUCGGCUCAUCACAUCCUGGGGCUGAAGUAGGUCCCAAGGGUAUGGCUGUUCGCCAUUUAAAGUGGUACGCGAGCUGGGUUUAGAACGUCGUGAGACAGUUCGGUCCCUAUCUGCCGUGGGCGCUGGAGAACUGAGGGGGGCUGCUCCUAGUACGAGAGGACCGGAGUGGACGCAUCACUGGUGUUCGGGUUGUCAUGCCAAUGGCACUGCCCGGUAGCUAAAUGCGGAAGAGAUAAGUGCUGAAAGCAUCUAAGCACGAAACUUGCCCCGAGAUGAGUUCUCCCUGACUCCUUGAGAGUCCUGAAGGAACGUUGAAGACGACGACGUUGAUAGGCCGGGUGUGUAAGCGCAGCGAUGCGUUGAGCUAACCGGUACUAAUGAACCGUGAGGCUUAACCUU
Molecule: ribosomal RNA, 2903 nt
Filed under: Escherichia coli
Lineage: Bacteria; Pseudomonadati; Pseudomonadota; Gammaproteobacteria; Enterobacterales; Enterobacteriaceae
Description: 23S ribosomal RNA
Rfam family: Bacterial large subunit ribosomal RNA
Source: RNAcentral